RNAcentral lists this small nucleolar RNA (120 nucleotides) under Echinops telfairi (small Madagascar hedgehog). Its description in RNAcentral is "Small nucleolar RNA SNORA61 (ENSETEG00000026262.1)". The record is from RNAcentral. Lineage: Eukaryota; Metazoa; Chordata; Mammalia; Afrosoricida; Tenrecidae.
UCCCUCCAGAUUCGGUACCUCUCGGAUUUAAAUAGUGAUCCGAGUGGCUUAAAAAGGAGGAAAAGUAAAACGGAGUAGACUUGCAGUCUUUAAUGAUAUACAAGUUCAUUUCAAACAUAA